GUAUUUCAUUGCGUUAAACGCGACAUACAUUCCAUGAGACUUUGUUGUAGUGUGUGUGUAAAGACGCAGAACCACAGCAGGGGGACAGAGCCCACCCAGGCCAUAGAACUACAGAGGGUGCACAGGUGUGAGUGGAUGUGUAAACAGAGCGUGCACAUGCCCUCGUUUUGAAGACCAGCAACAACUCUUGUUGACAAUUCGGUAAUGAUCCUUCCGCAGGUUCACCUACGGAAA
Molecule: unclassified non-coding RNA, 234 nt
Filed under: uncultured fungus
Lineage: Eukaryota; Fungi
Description: sequence contains ITS1
Source: RNAcentral